This 271-nucleotide ribosomal RNA is filed under the name Mysmeninae sp. MYSM-009-MAD. RNAcentral describes it as "partial 28S ribosomal RNA". The record is from RNAcentral. Lineage: Eukaryota; Metazoa; Arthropoda; Arachnida; Araneae; Mysmenidae.
CUGCUCAGAGGUAAACGGGUGGGCCCUCGAAAUCCUGUGGCGGGAGGAUUCAGUCGAAGGUCGUCGGCGCGACUCCCGCGGUGUCUCAGAUCCCCACCAGGGGACGAUCCGCGGGGACGGUGCCGGCUUCUGCCGACGCAUUUGUUUCCCGUCCGAAGGACGCCGCGACCGGUUGGGGAGCGGCCUUAAAGGCGGCCGAAGGCAGGUAACCGACGCCACCGCUCGUUCGGUGGCGACGGCGUUAUAGCCUGGCCGCCGCAUGGCGCGCGAA